CAUCGAUGAAGAACGCAACGAAAUGCGAUAAGUAAUGUGAAUUGCAGAAUUCAGUGAAUCAUCGAAUCUUUGAACGCAUCUUGCGCUCCUUGGUACUCCGAGGAGCAUGCCUGUUUGAGUGUCAU
RNAcentral lists this ribosomal RNA (125 nucleotides) under Agaricus cupreobrunneus. RNAcentral's name for it is "5.8S ribosomal RNA". It matches the Rfam family "5.8S ribosomal RNA", at positions 31 to 154 of the family's 154-position model. From Rfam's summary of the family: 5.8S ribosomal RNA (5.8S rRNA) is a component of the large subunit of the eukaryotic ribosome. Lineage: Eukaryota; Fungi; Basidiomycota; Agaricomycetes; Agaricales; Agaricaceae. The record is from RNAcentral.